UACAGAGGUCUCAAGCGUUGUUCGGAAUCACUGGGCGUAAAGGGUGCGUAGGCGGCACGGUAAGUCAGAGGUGAAAUCCCGGAGCUCAACUUCGGAAUUGCCUCCGAUACUGCCGUGCUUGAGGACUGGAGAGGAGAUUGGAAUUCACAGUGGAGCAGUGAAAUGCGUAGAUAUUGUGAGGAACACUAGUGGCGAGGGCGAAUCUCUGGACAGUUCCUGACGCUGAGGCACGAAGGCCAGGGGAGCAAACGGG
This 253-nucleotide ribosomal RNA is filed under the name uncultured bacterium. RNAcentral describes it as "partial 16S ribosomal RNA". It matches the Rfam family "Bacterial small subunit ribosomal RNA", at positions 524 to 776 of the family's 1533-position model. The record is from RNAcentral.